Molecule: ribosomal RNA, 382 nt
Filed under: uncultured bacterium
Lineage: Bacteria
Description: bacterial SSU rRNA
Rfam family: Bacterial small subunit ribosomal RNA
Source: RNAcentral
ACUCCUACGGGAGGCAGCAGUGGGGAAUAUUGCACAAUGGGGGAAACCCUGAUGCAGCCAUGCCGCGUGUGUGAAGAAGGCCUUCGGGUUGUAAAGCACUUUCAGUAGGGAGGAAGGUAGUGUAGUUAACACCUGCACUAUUUGUACGUUACCUACAGAAGAAGCACCGGCUAACUCCGUGCCAGCAGCCGCGGUAAUACGGAGGGUGCGAGCGUUAAUCGGAAUUACUGGGCGUAAAGCGCAUGCAGGCGGCCUGUUAAGUCAGAUGUGAAAGCCCGGGGCUUAACCUCGGAAUUGCAUUUGAAACUGGCAGGCUAGAGUCUUGUAGAGGGGUUAGAAUUUCGAGGUGUAGCGGUGAAAUGCGUAGAGAUCUGAAGGAAUA